Molecule: unclassified non-coding RNA, 306 nt
Filed under: plant metagenome
Description: partial contains 5.8S ribosomal RNA, internal transcribed spacer 2, and large subunit ribosomal RNA
Rfam family: 5.8S ribosomal RNA (bases 1-105)
Source: RNAcentral
GAAAUGCGAUAAGUAGUGUGAAUUGCAGAAUUCAGUGAAUCAUCGAAUCUUUGAACGCACAUUGCACCCCUUGGUAUUCCAUGGGGCAUGCCUGUUCGAGCGUCAUCUACACCCUCAAGCUCUGCUUGGUGUUGGGCGUCUUUGUCCCGCCUCCGCGCGCGGACUCGCCCCAAAUUCAUUGGCAGCGGUCCUUGCCUCCUCUCGCGCAGCACAUUGCGCUUCUCGAGGUGUUGCGGCCCGCGUCCAGAAAGCAAUCGUUACCGUCUUUGACCUCGGAUCAGGUAGGGAUACCCGCUGAACUUAAGC